UACGGGGGGAGCAAGCGUUGUUCGGAUUUACUGGGCGUAAAGGGCGCGUAGGCGGCCACCGCAAGUCAAUUGUGAAAUCUCCGGGCUUAACCCGGAAAGGUCAGCCGAUACUGCGGGGCUAGAGUGCAGAAGGGGCAACUGGAAUUCUCGGUGUAGCGGUGAAAUGCGUAGAUAUCGAGAGGAACACCUGCGGCGAAGGCGGGUUGCUGGGCUGACACUGACGCUGAGGCGCGAAGCUAGGGGAGCGAACGGGA
RNAcentral lists this ribosomal RNA (254 nucleotides) under uncultured bacterium. Its description in RNAcentral is "partial 16S ribosomal RNA". It matches the Rfam family "Bacterial small subunit ribosomal RNA", at positions 524 to 777 of the family's 1533-position model. The record is from RNAcentral.